Molecule: long non-coding RNA, 214 nt
Filed under: Theobroma cacao (cacao)
Lineage: Eukaryota; Viridiplantae; Streptophyta; Magnoliopsida; Malvales; Malvaceae
Description: long non-coding RNA (TCAC_LNC002314)
Source: RNAcentral
GAAUCCUCGAGGAAUUCGUCGGAUUGAAGUCUUGAUCGUUGGUAAAGGUCGAGUCUACAAAUAGAUGAGUUGAUAUACCUUUUCAAGUAUUUUGAUAUGUAAAGCAAGCAUUAUUUUAUUUGUGGUGAUUUAUCUUGCAUGAUUAAAUACCAUUUAUGAUGACUGUUCAGAGGCUUUGAAUACAAGUGUUUUCAAAGAAGUUUUCAAAUCUAUU